UGGGGAAUAUUGGACAAUGGGCGAAAGCCUGAUCCAGCCAUGCCGCGUGAGUGACGAAGGCCUUAGGGUUGUAAAACUCUUUCGUCGGGGACGAUAAUGACGGUACCCGAAGAAGAAGCUCCGGCUAACUUCGUGCCAGCAGCCGCGGUAAUACGAAGGGAGCUAGCGUUGUUCGGAAUCACUGGGCGUAAAGCGCACGUAGGCGGAUAGUUAAGUCAGGGGUGAAAUCCUGGGGCUCAACCCCAGAACUGCCUUUGAUACUGGCUGUCUCGAGGUCGAGAGAGGUUGGUGGAAUUCCUAGUGUAGAGGUGAAAUUCGUAGAUAUUAGGAAGAACACCAGUGGCGAAGGCGGCCAACUGGCUCGAUACUGACGCUGAGGUGCGAAAGCGUGGGGAGCAAACAGGAUUAGAUACCCCGUAGUCCCUGAGCGGGCUGGCAAGGCGCAU
RNAcentral lists this ribosomal RNA (446 nucleotides) under uncultured bacterium. RNAcentral describes it as "bacterial SSU rRNA". It matches the Rfam family "Bacterial small subunit ribosomal RNA", at positions 355 to 825 of the family's 1533-position model. The record is from RNAcentral.